This 216-nucleotide long non-coding RNA is filed under the name Linum usitatissimum (flax). RNAcentral's name for it is "long non-coding RNA (LUSI_LNC000190)". The record is from RNAcentral. Lineage: Eukaryota; Viridiplantae; Streptophyta; Magnoliopsida; Malpighiales; Linaceae.
CAAGCAGCUCCGUCGGAGCCGCUCACGUCCUCCAUCCUCUGCUGCUUCUUCACAACCCUCUCAUCGAACCCUGCAUCUCCGUCGCCGCCGCCGCCGGACGAGCUGCUGGUUCCUCCUUCUGAAGUCGAAUUCGAUAACGGUUCGACCCUGUGGAGGACGGAUCUCGGCUUGGAUUUCACCGACAGAGCCACCGUGGAUCCGGUGAGGCCGGCGGGG